This 497-nucleotide ribosomal RNA is filed under the name uncultured bacterium. Its description in RNAcentral is "partial 16S ribosomal RNA". It matches the Rfam family "Bacterial small subunit ribosomal RNA", at positions 28 to 507 of the family's 1533-position model. The record is from RNAcentral.
GAUGAACGCUGGCGGUGUGCCUAAUACAUGCAAGUCGAGCGAACAGACGAGGAGCUUACUCCUCUGACGUUAGCGGCGGACGGGUGAGUAACACGUGGAUAACCUACCUAUAAGACUGGGAUAACUUCGGGAAACCGGAGCUAAUACCGGAUAACAUGUUGAACCGCAUGGUUCAACAGUGAAAGACGGUCUUGCUGUCACUUAUAGAUGGAUCCGCGUCGCAUUAGCUAGUUGGUAAGGUAACGGCUUACCAAGGCAACGAUGCGUAGCCGACCUGGGAGGGUGAUCGGCCACACUGGAACUGAGACACGGUCCAGACUCCUACGGGAGGCAGCAGUAGGGAAUCUUCCGCAAUGGGCGAAAGCCUGACGGAGCAACGCCGCGUGAGUGAAGAAGGUCUUCGGAUCGUAAAACUCUGUUAUUAGGGAAGAACAAAUGUGUAAGUAACUAUGCACGUCUUGACGGUACCUAAUCAGAAAGCCACGGCUAACUACGUG